CCGGCGAGGGGAGUGAAAAAGAACCUGAAACCGUGUACGUACAAGCAGUGGGAGCCCCACCACUAAGCCAGUGGUGAACUCCACAUACGCAUCCUUUGCUGAGGAUACGGUUAACGGAGCGAAAGCGACGUUCAACCGAAAAAGAAGCAGAGGGGGCUUAGUGGUGGGGUGACUGCGUACCUUUUGUAUAAUGGGUCAGCGACUUAUAUUCUGUAGCAAGGUU
RNAcentral lists this ribosomal RNA (223 nucleotides) under Salmonella enterica subsp. enterica serovar Wilhelmsburg. RNAcentral's name for it is "partial 23S ribosomal RNA". It matches the Rfam family "Bacterial large subunit ribosomal RNA", at positions 526 to 647 of the family's 2925-position model. Lineage: Bacteria; Pseudomonadati; Pseudomonadota; Gammaproteobacteria; Enterobacterales; Enterobacteriaceae. The record is from RNAcentral.